RNAcentral lists this ribosomal RNA (1343 nucleotides) under uncultured bacterium. Its description in RNAcentral is "16S ribosomal RNA". It matches the Rfam family "Bacterial small subunit ribosomal RNA", at positions 28 to 1378 of the family's 1533-position model. The record is from RNAcentral.
GACGAACGUUGGCGGCGUGCUUAACACAUGCAAGUCGAACGGAAAGUCCCUGCUUUUGUGGGGUGCUCGAGUGGCGAACGGGUGAGUAACACGUGAGUAACCUGCCCUUGACUUUGGGAUAACUUCAGGAAACUGGGGCUAAUACCGGAUAGGAGCUCCUGCUGCAUGGUGGGGGUUGGAAAGUUUCGGCGGUUGGGGAUGGACUCGCGGCUUAUCAGCUUGUUGGUGGGGUAGUGGCUUACCAAGGCUUUGACGGGUAGCCGGCCUGAGAGGGUGACCGGCCACAUUGGGACUGAGAUACGGCCCAGACUCCUACGGGAGGCAGCAGUGGGGAAUAUUGCACAAUGGGCGGAAGCCUGAUGCAGCAACGCCGCGUGCGGGAUGACGGCCUUCGGGUUGUAAACCGCUUUCGCCUGUGACGAAGCGUGAGUGACGGUAAUGGGUAAAGAAGCACCGGCUAACUACGUGCCAGCAGCCGCGGUGAUACGUAGGGUGCGAGCGUUGUCCGGAUUUAUUGGGCGUAAAGGGCUCGUAGGUGGUUGAUCGCGUCGGAAGUGUAAUCUUGGGGCUUAACCCUGAGCGUGCUUUCGAUACGGGUUGACUUGAGGAAGGUAGGGGAGAAUGGAAUUCCUGGUGGAGCGGUGGAAUGCGCAGAUAUCAGGAGGAACACCAGUGGCGAAGGCGGUUCUCUGGGCCUUUCCUGACGCUGAGGAGCGAAAGCGUGGGGAGCGAACAGGCUUAGAUACCCUGGUAGUCCACGCUGUAAACGGUGGGUACUAGGUGUGGGGUCCAUUCCACGGGUUCCGUGCCGUAGCUAACGCUUUAAGUACCCCGCCUGGGGAGUACGGCCGCAAGGCUAAAACUCAAAGGAAUUGACGGGGCCCCGCACAAGCGGCGGAGCAUGCGGAUUAAUUCGAUGCAACGCGUAGAACCUUACCUGGGUUUGACAUGGAUCGGGAGCGCUCAGAGAUGGGUGUGCCUCUUUUGGGGUCGGUUCACAGGUGGUGCAUGGCUGUCGUCAGCUCGUGUCGUGAGAUGUUGGGUUAAGUCCCGCAACGAGCGCAACCCUUGUUCACUGUUGCCAGCACGUUAUGGUGGGGACUCAGUGGAGACCGCCGGGGUCAACUCGGAGGAAGGUGGGGAUGACGUCAAGUCAUCAUGCCCCUUAUGUCCAGGGCUUCACGCAUGCUACAAUGGCUGGUACAGAGAGUGGCGAGCCUGUGAGGGUGAGCGAAUCUCGGAAAGCCGGUCUCAGUUCGGAUUGGGGUCUGCAACUCGACCUCAUGAAGUCGGAGUCGCUAGUAAUCGCAGAUCAGCAACGCUGCGGUGAAUACGUUCCCGGG